AUUGAACGCUGGCGGCAGGCCUAACACAUGCAAGUCGAACGAGUGGCGGACGGGUGUGUAAUGUCUGGGAAACUGCCUGAUGGAGGGGGAUAACUUCUGGAAACGGUAGCUAAUCCCGCAUACCAUCAGAUGUGCGCAGAUGGGCUUAGCUUGUUGGUGGGGUAACGGCGGACCAGGGCGCCGAUCCCUAGCUGGUCUGAGAGGGUGACCCGCCACACUGGAACUGAGACACGGUCCAGACUCCUACGGGAGGCAGCAGUGGGGAAUAUUGCACAAUGGGCGCAAGCGUGAUGCAGCCAUGCCGCGUGUGUGAAGAAGGCCUUCGGGUUGUAAAGUUCUUUCAGCGGGGAGGCGUUACCCGCAGAAGAAGCACCGGCUAACUCCGUGCCAGCAGCCGCGGUAAUAC
Molecule: ribosomal RNA, 406 nt
Filed under: uncultured bacterium
Lineage: Bacteria
Description: partial 16S ribosomal RNA
Rfam family: Bacterial small subunit ribosomal RNA
Source: RNAcentral